This 372-nucleotide ribosomal RNA is filed under the name uncultured organism. Its description in RNAcentral is "partial 16S ribosomal RNA". It matches the Rfam family "Bacterial small subunit ribosomal RNA", at positions 527 to 896 of the family's 1533-position model. The record is from RNAcentral.
GUAGGUGGCAAGCGUUGUCCGGAAUUAUUGGGCGUAAAGCGCGCGCAGGCGGUUCUUUAAGUCUGAUGUGAAAGCCCACGGCUCAACCGUGGAGGGUCAUUGGAAACUGGAGAACUUGAGUACAGAAGAGGAAAGCGGAAUUCCACGUGUAGCGGUGAAAUGCGUAGAGAUGUGGAGGAACACCAGUGGCGAAGGCGGCUUUCUGGUCUGUAACUGACGCUGAGGCGCGAAAGCGUGGGGAGCAAACAGGAUUAGAUACCCUGGUAGUCCACGCCGUAAACGAUAAGUGCUAAGUGUUAGGGGGUUUCCGCCCCCUUAGUGCUGCAGCUAACGCAUUAAGCACUCCGCCUGGGGAGUACGGCCGCAAGGCUG